This 429-nucleotide ribosomal RNA is filed under the name Actinomycetes bacterium. Its description in RNAcentral is "Actinobacteria bacterium partial 16S ribosomal RNA". It matches the Rfam family "Bacterial small subunit ribosomal RNA", at positions 355 to 776 of the family's 1533-position model. The record is from RNAcentral. Lineage: Bacteria; Bacillati; Actinomycetota; Actinomycetes.
UAGGGGAUCUUCCGCAAUGGGCGAAAGCCUGACGGAGCAACGCCGCGUGAGUGAUGAAGGUCUUCGGAUCGUAAAACUCUGUUAUUAGGGAAGAACAAAUGUGUAAGUAACUAUGCACGUCUUGACGGUACCUAAUCAGAAAGCCACGGCUAACUACGUGCCAGCAGCCGCGGUAAUACGUAGGUGGCAAGCGUUAUCCGGAAUUAUUGGGCGUAAAGCGCGCGUAGGCGGUUUUUUAAGUCUGAUGUGAAAGCCCACGGCUCAACCGUGGAGGGUCAUUGGAAACUGGAAAACUUGAGUGCAGAAGAGGAAAGUGGAAUUCCAGGUGUAGCGGUGAAAGGCGCAGAGAUAUGGAGGAACCCCAGUGGCGAAGGCGACUUUCUGGUCUGUAACUGACGCUGAUGUGCGAAAGCGUGGGGAUCAAACAGG